CCUACGGGUGGCAGCAGUGGGGAAUAUUGGGCAAUGGGCGCAAGCCUGACCCAGUAACGCCGCGUGAGGGAAGAAGGCUUUCGGGUUGUAAACUUCUUUUGUCAGGGACGAAGCAAGUGACGGUACCUGACGGAUAAGCCACGGCUAACUACGUGCCAGCAGCCGCGGUAAUACGUAGGUGGCAAGCGUUAUCCGGAUUUACUGGGUGUAAAGGGCGUGUAGGCGGGGAAGCAAGUCAGAUGUGAAAACCACGGGCUCAACCUGUGGCCUGCAUUUGAAACUGUUUUUCUUGAGUGCUGGGGAGGCAAUCGGAAUUCCGUGUGUAGCGGUGAAAUGCGUAGAUAUACGGAGGAACACCAGUGGCGAAGGCGGAUUGCUGGACAGUAACUGACGCUGAGGCGCGAAAGCGUGGGGAGCAAACAGGAUUAGAUACCCCGGUAGUC
This 443-nucleotide ribosomal RNA is filed under the name uncultured bacterium. Its description in RNAcentral is "partial 16S ribosomal RNA". It matches the Rfam family "Bacterial small subunit ribosomal RNA", at positions 338 to 795 of the family's 1533-position model. The record is from RNAcentral.